RNAcentral lists this ribosomal RNA (465 nucleotides) under Vreelandella stevensii. RNAcentral's name for it is "partial 16S ribosomal RNA". It matches the Rfam family "Bacterial small subunit ribosomal RNA", at positions 338 to 795 of the family's 1533-position model. Lineage: Bacteria; Pseudomonadati; Pseudomonadota; Gammaproteobacteria; Oceanospirillales; Halomonadaceae. The record is from RNAcentral.
CCUACGGGAGGCAGCAGUGGGGAAUAUUGGACAAUGGGGGCAACCCUGAUCCAGCCAUGCCGCGUGUGUGAAGAAGGCCCUCGGGUUGUAAAGCACUUUCAGUGAGGAAGAACGCCUGGUGGUUAAUACCCAUCAGGAAAGACAUCACUCACAGAAGAAGCACCGGCUAACUCCGUGCCAGCAGCCGCGGUAAUACGGAGGGUGCGAGCGUUAAUCGGAAUUACUGGGCGUAAAGCGCGCGUAGGUGGCUUGAUAAGCCGGUUGUGAAAGCCCCGGGCUCAACCUGGGAACAGCAUCCGGAACUGUCAAGCUAGAGUGCAGGAGAGGAAGGUAGAAUUCCCGGUGUAGCGGUGAAAUGCGUAGAGAUCGGGAGGAAUACCAGUGGCGAAGGCGGCCUUCUGGACUGACACUGACACUGAGGUGCGAAAGCGUGGGUAGCAAACAGGAUUAGAUACCCCAGUAGUC